UUAUUAUUAUUAUUAUUAUUAUUAUUAUAAUUUUUUUUUUUUUUCCGCCAACUUUUGUUCUUGCGAUAAAUGUUUGUUUCGCAAUAUGUCGCUUAGAUUUUUUCUCAUAUUGUAUCGUAUAGUUUAUGCGCUUUUAAAUUUCACCCUGCUAAGACGAACCAUUUUCUUUGUAAGAGUUAUCUCCCUAUUCACUGUUUAUCAUGUGUGUGCAUCUCCUUCGUAACAAAAAAAGAAAUAGCGACAAAAUUCUUUUUACAAAUUGUUCGUUACAUCCUCAGAAAAUUUUGGCUAAUUUGGAUCGAAGCGAUUCGAUGAAAUUUUAUAGGAGUUAUGUACCUUUACGGAAUAAAUUUGUCGGUAUGUUUUUUUAACUCAUAAACCGUUAACCGUAUAACCCUGGAAUGUUUUUAUUUGAGUCCCCUGAUUCCUAACUUAGAAAAUUAGGUCAAGGUCAAAGGUCAAGGUCAUAUUUUAGAUUUUCAUAUGUCUUUGAUUUCCCUAUAA
Molecule: long non-coding RNA, 504 nt
Filed under: Mytilus galloprovincialis (Mediterranean mussel)
Lineage: Eukaryota; Metazoa; Mollusca; Bivalvia; Mytilida; Mytilidae
Source: RNAcentral